Molecule: long non-coding RNA, 261 nt
Filed under: Elaeis guineensis (African oil palm)
Lineage: Eukaryota; Viridiplantae; Streptophyta; Magnoliopsida; Arecales; Arecaceae
Description: long non-coding RNA (EGUI_LNC043551)
Source: RNAcentral
CCCCUCGUAUCCCUUCUUCACUGUUGCAAUUCGCUUCCGUUAGUCACCAAUGACCGUCAAAGUUUAACACACAUGCAGAGAACUGCUGAGGUAAUAUGGAUCCUAUUGUAGCUAAGGACGACAAUCGGAUUGGUUCAGAUCAUAAAUGAGUCAGAUUAGAAAUGGAUCGGAUCAGAAAAUAUCAAAUCUAAAUCCAACCUAAUUAUUAAACAAGUCAGAUUUUCAAACCUGAAUGUGACUCAUUUAAUAAACAGGUCACCC